GACGAACGCUGGCGGCGUGCCUAAUACAUGCAAGUCGUGCGGACCUUGUUGAAAGCUUGCUUUUAAAAGGUUAGCGGCGGACGGGUGAGUAACACGUGGGCAACCUGCCUGUAAGACUGGGAUAACGCCGGGAAACCGGGGCUAAUACCAGAUCGUUUUUUCCUCCGCAUGGAGGAAAAAGGAAAGGCGGCUUCGGCUGCCACUUACAGAUGGGCCCGCGGCGCAUUAGCUAGUUGGCGGGGUAAUGGCCCACCAAGGCAACGAUGCGCAGCCGACCUGAGAGGGUGAUCGGGCACAUUGGGACUGAGACACGGCCCAAACUCCUACGGGAGGCAGCAGUAGGGAAUCUUCCGCAAUGGACGAAAGUCUGACGGAGCAACGCCGCGUGAGGGAAGAAGGCCUUCGGGUCGUAAAACUCUGUUGCCGGGGAAGAACAAGUGCCGUUCGAACAGGGCGGCGCCUUGACGGUACCCGGCCAGAAAGCCACGGCUAACUACGUG
Molecule: ribosomal RNA, 500 nt
Filed under: uncultured bacterium
Lineage: Bacteria
Description: partial 16S ribosomal RNA
Rfam family: Bacterial small subunit ribosomal RNA
Source: RNAcentral